This 73-nucleotide transfer RNA is filed under the name Bos taurus (domestic cattle). It matches the Rfam family "tRNA". From Rfam's summary of the family: Transfer RNA (tRNA) molecules are approximately 80 nucleotides in length. Lineage: Eukaryota; Metazoa; Chordata; Mammalia; Artiodactyla; Bovidae. RNAcentral also lists the same sequence under 1 other name. The record is from Rfam by way of RNAcentral.
UCCCUGGGGGUCCAGAGGUUAAGACCCUGUGCUUAUAAUGCAGGGGACCCAGGUUCAAUCCCUGGUCAGGAAG